GAAGAAGGUCUUCUCCUUCUACCUUUAAGAGCAGAGACCACCCUAACCUGGAUUUUACUGUGGCUAGAGGGGAGAAGAUUCAGCCUUAGAGUGCUAAUUUUAAAGAAGAGGACUGAGAGGUGGAAAAAGAAAUAUUGCUUCAGCUCUAAGAGCAAGUAUCUAAUAACAACUCAUGUCUUUGGAAGGAAUACUAACAUGAAGAGAGCUGUUCUACAAUUUGUUCUGUGUCAGAAAACAAAGAAAAAAUGUUUUAAACUGAAGUGAAGCAUCCAGCUGUUACCUUUUUUGGUUGAUUUGUUUGUUUGUUUGGUAGUUUUGCUGCUUAUUGGAUUUCAAAUAAGACUGCCAAAUUGUUAGAGUCAUAGUCAUAAAGUCACAGUCAUUGUAGCCUGCUGUAUUUCUUCAACUCUGAUUUUAGCUUGUCUGAAUUUGUUGUCUACAUUCCCAAAAUGUAAGGGUGAGGGUGAAGAAUGUGGUCCCUGUGCACAGACUUUCCAUUGCCUGGCCCAACAGAAAUAUAACAUGUCAGUUGCACUUGUGUUUUAAAUGAGUGUAUAUGUUCACUUAGAUGAAAGGAAAGUUUGAUAUUAAACAAAUGUCAGCUUGUGUAAGUGGAAAGGUUUGUUUUGUUUUAUUGAGAUUUUUUUGUCUGAAAUCUUUUAUCAAACAUUUAUCAUCAAAGAUGUGCAGGUAAUAUUUGCAGCUCUUCAAAGUAGAAUGGAAUAAUCAAGCACUUAUGCUGUACCCUGUGAAUCAUUUCUGGGGACUUUUUAUCUAGAAAAAUGUGUUAAAGUUUUGUGUUGUUCCCCCCUACCCUACCAACAGGAGAAUAGUUGUUCAGACUAUCCAAAGGAAGAGAAUUUCCUAAUCUUUAACUAGUAGUGCUCUCAAACAGCAAAGCAGAGAAGCUCAGUAAUAAUUGGAAACCAAUCCAUGGCUCUUCAAGUGUAUUUGUUUCCAUUAUGACUUGUGUUUCUGAAUUCUGGUCCUUAAUGCAUUAAGCUGCAAUAUUUUGUGUGACUGUAGAAUACAUCAAGGGCCAUUUUUUUUUUUUUUUCAUGCAGAAUAAAGCUCAGUAUUUCUCAAAUAAACCA
Molecule: long non-coding RNA, 1094 nt
Filed under: Anser cygnoides (Swan goose)
Lineage: Eukaryota; Metazoa; Chordata; Aves; Anseriformes; Anatidae
Description: lncRNA (ENSACDG00005010877.1)
Source: RNAcentral